GCAGGGAUAGCGAAGUGGUCAAACGCGCGAGACUCAAAAUCUCGUCUCUUAGUGAGUUCGGAGGUCCGAAUCCUCCUCCCUGCA
This 84-nucleotide transfer RNA is filed under the name Candidatus Pacearchaeota archaeon CG10_big_fil_rev_8_21_14_0_10_32_14. RNAcentral's name for it is "tRNA-Leu". It matches the Rfam family "tRNA". Rfam says of the family: Transfer RNA (tRNA) molecules are approximately 80 nucleotides in length. Their secondary structure includes four short double-helical elements and three loops (D, anti-codon, and T loops). Further hydrogen bonds mediate the characteristic L-shaped molecular structure. tRNAs have two regions of fundamental functional importance: the anti-codon, which is responsible for specific mRNA codon recognition, and the 3' end, to which the tRNAs corresponding amino acid is attached (by aminoacyl-tRNA synthetases). tRNAs cope with the degeneracy of the genetic code in two manners: having more than one tRNA (with a specific anti-codon) for a particular amino acid; and 'wobble' base-pairing, i.e. permitting non-standard base-pairing at the 3rd anti-codon position. The record is from RNAcentral. Lineage: Archaea; Nanobdellati.